UGACAAGCCAAGGUUGCCCGGCCUGCAC
RNAcentral lists this non-coding RNA (28 nucleotides) under Homo sapiens (human). The record is from RNAcentral. Lineage: Eukaryota; Metazoa; Chordata; Mammalia; Primates; Hominidae.